ACAGGACGUCAUAGAGGGUGAGAAUCCCGUGUGGCGAGGAUCCCAGUUAUUUGUAAAGUGCUUUCGACGAGUCGAGUUGUUUGGGAAUGCAGCUCUAAGUGGGUGGUAAAUUCCAUCUAAAGCUAAAUAUUGGCGAGAGACCGAUAGCGAACAAGUACAGUGAUGGAAAGAUGAAAAGAACUUUGAAAAGAGAGUGAAAAAGUACGUGAAAUUGUUGAAAGGGAAGGGCAUUUGAUCAGACAUGGCGUUUGCUUCGGCUUUCGCUGGGCCAGCAUCAGUUUUAGCGGUUGGAUAAAUCCUCGGGAAUGUGGCUCUGCUUCGGUAGAGUGUUAUAGCCCGUGGGAAUACAGCCAGCUGGGACUGAGGAUUGCGACUUUUGUCAAGGAUGCUGGCGUAAUGGUUAAAUGCCGCCCGUCUUGAAACACGGACCAAGGAGUCUAACGUCUAUGCGAGUGUUUGGGUGUAAAACCCGUACGCGUAAUGAAAGUGAACGUAGGUGAGGGCCCGCAAGGGUGCAUCAUCGACCGAUCCUGAUGUCUUCGGAUGGAUUUGAGUAAGAGCAUAGCUGUUGGGACCCGAAAGAUGGUGAACUAUGCCUGAAUAGGGUGAAGCCAGAGGAAACUCUGGUGGAGGCUCGUAGCGGUUCUGACGUGCAAAUCG
RNAcentral lists this ribosomal RNA (660 nucleotides) under Kluyveromyces marxianus. Its description in RNAcentral is "LSU rRNA". It matches the Rfam family "Eukaryotic large subunit ribosomal RNA", at positions 195 to 900 of the family's 3401-position model. Lineage: Eukaryota; Fungi; Ascomycota; Saccharomycetes; Saccharomycetales; Saccharomycetaceae. The record is from RNAcentral.